GCCUACGGGGCGCAGCAGUGGGGAAUAUUGCACAAUGGGGGAAACCCUGAUGCAGCGACGCCGCGUGAAGGACGAAGUAUUUCGGUACGUAAACUUCUAUCAGCAGGGAAGAAAAUGACGGUACCUGACCAAGAAGCCCCGGCUAACUACGUGCCAGCAGCCGCGGUAAUACGUAGGUGGCAAGCGUUGUCCGGAUUUACUGGGUGUAAAGGGCGUGUAGCCGGGUUGACAAGUCAGAUGUGAAAUCCUGCGGCUUAACCGCAGAACUGCAUUUGAAACUGUUGAUCUUGAGUACUGGAGAGGCA
Molecule: ribosomal RNA, 305 nt
Filed under: uncultured bacterium
Lineage: Bacteria
Description: bacterial SSU rRNA
Rfam family: Bacterial small subunit ribosomal RNA
Source: RNAcentral